GACGAACGCUGGCGGCGUGCUUAACACAUGCAAGUCGAACGAGUGGCGAACGGGUGAGUAACGCUAAUCAACCUGCCCUUCAGAGGGGGACAACAGUUGGAAACGACUGCUAAUACCGCAUACUAUUGGAGCGGCCGAACUCGGAUUAGCUAGUUGGGGGGGUAACGGCUCACCAAGGCGACGAUCCGUAGCUGGUUUGAGAGGACGACCAGCCACACUGUGACUGAGACACGGCCCAGACUCCUACGGGAGGCAGCAGUGGGGAAUAUUGCGCAAUGGGGGCAACCCUGACGCAGCCAUGCCGCGUGAAUGAAGAAGGCCUCGGGUUGUAAAGUUCUUUCGGUAGCGAGGCGUUAACUACAGAAGAAGCACCGGCUAACUCCGUGCCAGCAGCCGCGGUAAUUC
This 405-nucleotide ribosomal RNA is filed under the name uncultured bacterium. Its description in RNAcentral is "partial 16S ribosomal RNA". It matches the Rfam family "Bacterial small subunit ribosomal RNA", at positions 28 to 526 of the family's 1533-position model. The record is from RNAcentral.